Molecule: ribosomal RNA, 250 nt
Filed under: uncultured bacterium
Lineage: Bacteria
Description: partial 16S ribosomal RNA
Rfam family: Bacterial small subunit ribosomal RNA
Source: RNAcentral
UCGAGAAUCUUCCACAAUGGACGAAAGUCUGAUGGAGCGACGCCGCGUGAUCGAUGAAGUGCUUCGGUAUGUAAAGAUCUUUUAUGGGGGAAGAAGUUUAUUGACGGUACCCCAUGAAUAAGGGCCUGCAAAACUCGUGCCAGCAGCAGCGGUAAUACGAGUGGCCCAAGCGUUAUCCGGAAUUAUUGGGCGUAAAGGAUAUGUAGGUGGUUAUGUUAGUCUAGUGUCUAACCUCUGAGCUCAACUUGGA